RNAcentral lists this transfer-messenger RNA (304 nucleotides) under Clostridiales bacterium. It matches the Rfam family "transfer-messenger RNA". From Rfam's summary of the family: Bacterial tmRNA, also known as 10Sa RNA or SsrA, is named for its dual tRNA and mRNA-like properties. The record is from RNAcentral. Lineage: Bacteria; Bacillati; Bacillota; Clostridia; Eubacteriales. RNAcentral also lists the same sequence under 1 other name.
GGGAGUGUAAAGGGUUCGACAGACUAAUAAAAAGUAAAAAUAUCACUAGGAUAGCAACCUUAACAGCUAAAACAAUUUUAAAAAAUAAAAGAUAAAGAAUAUUUAAAAGUAGCUUAAUAAAAGCUACCCCAAAACAAUAUCCAUACUGUUGGUAAAUAUUUGAGGGUUAAGGAAUAGCAGUAGAGUUUCUUAAUUUAGAAAAAUUAAGUGGUGGAGAUAGGAGAAGUCCUUAUAAAAAUGGUGUAAAGUAUUUUUACUAAGUAGUUAAGUUUGGACGGGGGUUCAAUUCCCCCCACUUCCAUAA